CAUUUUAUCAAGAUAUAAUUUCUAUAUUUACAUUUAUCUCUUUGUUCCAUUAUUUGUCCGCAAUGAUCGUUAAGACAAUUUAAAUGGGACUUUCAGAUUAUGACAAACUGUUUAUUAUAAUAAAAUUGCGAGAGGUUAUGCUAAACAUCUUUAGGGUUCAUUUAAAAAAAUUUUAAACGAAUUUAAUAAUUUUAUUUAAAUAACUAAUUGUGAAUAACCAUUCAAUAUAGGUAAUCAUUUUCAAUCGCAUCAAUUGUUCCAAAAAUAAUUAGAGUAAUUCAAGGGUCGGUAUAAUUAUAAUACUGAAAUUAUAUAAUUGAUCAGUUGUGAUGGAGAAUUUCCCACAAUUGUAUAUUAUAGUUUAGUAUGAAUUGACGUAUCAAUAUGAAGUGGGCAACAAUUAUAAGAAAUAAUAUUUCUAAGUACCUACGUAUAAGGCAUUCUCGAUAAAGUAGAUUUCUUCAUGAAUAUCAGCUGUCUUCAAUGAUGAGAUGCACGUCGUACGGUCCGAACAUGCCGAAGUUGGCGAGGAAGCUUGCUGGGAGCCCUGUGACGCCAUGGAACCAUAACAACAGAGGUCUUUUAGUUGGGGUCUCGGCAAGGGUUGGGUAAAACCACCAGAAGACGUCACCUUUGCCACGGCGGAUCAUCAGAGGACACCAACCACCAAAUCAGAACGCCAAGCCCGGCAACAGCAACAAGACCUAUUGCAACUAAAAUAAAAAUAGUUACUUUGCGCAUGACUCUUAAUUGACUUACAUUCACAUUCACGUCGAACUGUUG
Long non-coding RNA from Danaus plexippus (monarch butterfly), 783 nucleotides. RefSeq lists it as uncharacterized. The record is from RefSeq and is a predicted model, not a curated record. NCBI's taxonomy places the organism in Eukaryota, Metazoa, Arthropoda, Insecta, Lepidoptera, Nymphalidae. The transcript has 3 exons.